AAGUGCCUAUCAAUUGAUAGGAUAAUAGGGAAAUCGGUGGAAAUCCGAUGCAGCCCCGCUACUGUAAAUGUAUUUGAACUUCGCGUAUACCACUGGCUAACAGCUGGGAAGGUGCGAAAUUUCUAAUAUACAUAAGCCAGGAGACCUGCUUUUAUCUUU
This 159-nucleotide non-coding RNA is filed under the name uncultured Rummeliibacillus sp. The record is from RNAcentral. Lineage: Bacteria; Bacillati; Bacillota; Bacilli; Caryophanales; Caryophanaceae.